AAUCAGAGUUGUCACUUGGGAUAAUUUAUGGUGUCCCAAGUCACCGGUUUAAAAUCCUGAAUCGAGGAAAGAAUGACUCUAUUAUUAUAAUCUGCGAAUCAGAAACCCGGGUAAGAAAUUCUACUAACCCGGGAGAAGGUGUUAGGCACUCCCGAAUUCCGUGGUUCUAGCACGGUCACUUUGAUCCUUCUUGGCUUGUU
This 200-nucleotide long non-coding RNA is filed under the name Nicotiana benthamiana. RNAcentral's name for it is "long non-coding RNA (NBEN_LNC020848)". Lineage: Eukaryota; Viridiplantae; Streptophyta; Magnoliopsida; Solanales; Solanaceae. The record is from RNAcentral.